AGCCUAUUGAUAUUUCAAUAAUAGGUAUUUAUCCUGCCCAGUGAUAAUUAAACGGCCGCGGUAUCCUGACCGUGCAAAGGUAGCAUAAUCAUUUGCCUUCUAAUUAAAGGCUAGUAUGAACGGAAAACCGAAAACUCCCCUGUCUCUUUUUUAACCUUAAAAAUUAACCUUCAGGUGAAGAGGCCUGAAUUCUAUUAAAAGACAAGAAGACCCUGUCGAGCUUGAUUUUAAACCUAUAUAAUUCCACUUUUACCUAAUAUAAAAAUUUUGUUGGGGCGACAAAGGAGUAAACAAAACCUCCUUAACACCUUAGACCUAUAGUCCCUCUAUAGACCCAUUUUAUGCUCUCCUACACUAGCUACCGCAGGGAUAACAGACUAAUUUUUCUCAAGAGCCCAUAUCUACAGAAAAGUUUAGCACCUCGAUGUUGGCUUAAGAACUCUUUUAAGUGCAGCCGCUUACAAAAGAAGGUUUGUUCAACCUUUAAAUU
RNAcentral lists this ribosomal RNA (490 nucleotides) under Aponuphis sp. NB-2014. RNAcentral's name for it is "partial 16S ribosomal RNA". It matches the Rfam family "Bacterial large subunit ribosomal RNA", at positions 1819 to 2594 of the family's 2925-position model. The record is from RNAcentral. Lineage: Eukaryota; Metazoa; Annelida; Polychaeta; Eunicida; Onuphidae.